Long non-coding RNA from Mandrillus leucophaeus (drill), 640 nucleotides. RefSeq lists it as uncharacterized. The record is from RefSeq and is a predicted model, not a curated record. The transcript has 2 exons. Lineage: Eukaryota; Metazoa; Chordata; Mammalia; Primates; Cercopithecidae.
UUUUUAUUAUUCCAGCAUUAAGUGCUUUGAACAUAAAUUCUAUAAAUUUACUUUUAUAGUCCAUAUAAAGUUUUGACUACAACUAAUAAUGUUACCUUAGCUAACACUUGUAUAGCACUUUAGAAUGCAUUAUCCCAGGUUUCUCAACCUCAACACUGCUGACUUUGGGACAAAUAAUUGGGCCCACCAGGAAGGAAGAAGGGGAUGGAAUACUGUCCUGUAUAUUGUGACAAUAUUAGGCAGAUAUUAGCAUCCCAGCCUCUACCCACAACAUGCCAGCAGCACACAUAAACACACAGCCCCAAUAGUGACAAACAACAGUGUCUCUAGACAGUCCCAAAUGUCCUCUGGGUUAGAUAUAAUCACUCUCAGAGAAGUUUUAAGCAACAUGCCCUAUGUGGCAGCAGUCAGGCAACUUAAAACUGGUGAGUUCAGAUUCUCAACUCAUUCCAUUUAAAUCACACUACUUUUACAUCAGUAUUUCUGUCCCACUGCCUAGCUGAAAUAUCCUUCUAUUUUUGCCAUCCAUUUUAUGAUUCUCAAAUGCUGUUUUUGUGACCCAAAAUUUAUUUUUACCAUUCAUAAUAUACUAAGUCUAUACUUUUAAAGUAGUGUUUCUGAAGUAUUGAUGGCUAUCCAA